This 397-nucleotide long non-coding RNA is filed under the name Homo sapiens (human). Its description in RNAcentral is "non-protein coding lnc-DENND5A-1:2". The record is from RNAcentral. Lineage: Eukaryota; Metazoa; Chordata; Mammalia; Primates; Hominidae.
UUUUGAUCUGCAUGGAAGCCCUGCCCUUUGAAGUCGCUCAUGGACCCAGACUGAUAGAGGAUCUGUCUCAGCACAUGCUUCAAGAUUCUCAUACGUACAGAAAACAGAGAACAUGGUUAACCCUGAGCUGGCUCCUAAAGCUUCUUCCCAGAAGAUACACACACCACUUAGCCAAAGUAAAUCACAUAGGUAUGUUUAAGUUUAACAAGGCAGGGAGGCACGUAGAAUAUUUGUGAACAAUAGUACAGUUAGCCAUAUUAAUUGUAAUGACUUUAUCUGGACAAGCAUAGCUUGUUUUACUGUACUUUGCCUUGCUGUCCUUCACAGAUACUGCAUUUUUUUUUUUUUUACAAAUUGAAGGUUUGUGGCAAUCUUGCAUUGAGCAAGUCUGUUGGCG